CCUACGGGAGGCAGCAGUGGGGAAUCUUGCGCAAUGGGCGAAAGCCUGACGCAGCCAUGCCGCGUGAAUGAUGAAGGUCUUAGGAUUGUAAAAUUCUUUCACCGGGGACGAUAAUGACGGUACCCGGAGAAGAAGCCCCGGCUAACUUCGUGCCAGCAGCCGCGGUAAUACGAAGGGGGCUAGCGUUGCUCGGAAUUACUGGGCGUAAAGGGAGCGUAGGCGGAUAGUUUAGUCAGAGGUGAAAGCCCAGGGCUCAACCUUGGAAUUGCCUUUGAUACUGGCUAUCUUGAGUAUGGGAGAGGUUAGCGGAACUCCGAGUGUAGAGGUGAAAUUCGUAGAUAUUCGGAAGAACACCAGUGGCGAAGGCGGCUAACUGGCCCAUUACUGACGCUGAGGCUCGAAAGCGUGGGGAGCAAACAGGAUUAGAUACCCUGGUAGUCCACGCCGUAAACGAUGAGUGCUAGUUGUCGGCAUGCANGCAUGUCGGUGACGCGAGCUACGACAUAAGUACACUCCGCCGUCGGGAGGUACGGUCGCGAGAAUAAACUACAAGAAGUAGACGGCGNGAGACGUGCCGACGGACGACGACGAGGGAGGUAGG
Molecule: ribosomal RNA, 601 nt
Filed under: uncultured bacterium
Lineage: Bacteria
Description: bacterial SSU rRNA
Rfam family: Bacterial small subunit ribosomal RNA (bases 1-519)
Source: RNAcentral